UAGGGAAUAUUGGACAAUGGGGGCAACCCUGAUCCAGCCAUGCCGCGUGAGUGAAGAAGGCCCUCGGGUUGUAAAGCUCUUUUGUCCGGAAAGAAAAGCAUUCGGUGAAUACCCGGAUGUUCUGACGGUACCGGAAGAAUAAGCACCGGCUAACUUCGUGCCAGCAGCCGCGGUAAUACGAAGGGUGCAAGCGUUACUCGGAAUUACUGGGCGUAAAGCGUGCGUAGGUGGUUGUUUAAGUCUGAUGUGAAAGCCCUGGGCUCAACCUGGGAAUGGCAUUGGAAACUGGGCAGCUAGAGUGCGGUAGAGNGUAGUGGAAUUCCCGGUGUAGCAGUGAAAUGCGUAGAGAUCGGGAGGAACACCUGUGGCGAAGGCGACUGCCUGGACCAGCACUGACACUGAGGCACGAAAGCGUGGGGAGCAAACA
This 427-nucleotide ribosomal RNA is filed under the name uncultured bacterium. Its description in RNAcentral is "bacterial SSU rRNA". It matches the Rfam family "Bacterial small subunit ribosomal RNA", at positions 355 to 774 of the family's 1533-position model. The record is from RNAcentral.